AUUGAACGCUGGCGGCAUGCUUUACACAUGCAAGUCGAACGGCAGCGCGGGCUUCGGCCUGGCGGCGAGUGGCGAACGGGUGAGUAAUACAUCGGAACGUGCCCAGUCGUGGGGGCUAGCUCGGCGAAAGCCGGAUUAAUACCGCAUACGACCUGAUGGUGAAAGCGGGGGAUCUUCGGACCUCGCGCUAUUGGAGGGGCCGAUGGCAGAUUAGCUAGUUGGUGGGGUAAAGGCCUACCAAGGCGACGAUCUGUAGCUGGUCUGAGAGGACGACCAGCCACACUGGAACUGAGACACGGCCCAGACUCCUACGGGAGGCAGCAGUGGGGAAUUUUGGACAAAGGGCGAAAGCCUGAUCCAGCAAUGCCGCGUGUGUGAUGAAGGCCUUCGGGUUGUAAAGCACUUUUGGCGGGAACGAAAAGGACUGUGCCAAUACCACGGUUCGAUGACGGUACCCGCAGAAUAAGCACCGGCUAACUACGUG
This 484-nucleotide ribosomal RNA is filed under the name uncultured bacterium. RNAcentral describes it as "partial 16S ribosomal RNA". It matches the Rfam family "Bacterial small subunit ribosomal RNA", at positions 29 to 507 of the family's 1533-position model. The record is from RNAcentral.